CUUCAAAUCGCCCUUAAAUUCACAUACUACUCACCUUGAGUUUUGGUACCUUCAAUUUGCCUGCUGUCGUUCUUCAAUCCCAAAUACCAACAAGAGAUAAAGAUUAAGAAUACUAAAUUACUAAAUGGAUGAGAGCCAAAAGGAACAUGUACUUGAACGAUUCUUUUCACCUAAGAUAUCUUAGAGAUCAAAGUUUUUGAAAACUCAACAAAAAGAAGGAAAUUUAUGUGGACUCAUACCCACUCUCCAAUUCAUCUACACAUGUUAAUAAUUUGCAUUCAGUUCACAUACGACAAUUCAGUUCGUAGAAAUUUUAAAAAAUAUUUUAACGACAAGCGUUUAAAACUGUUCUUGGGCUGAUCUGUCUAAAAUAACCUUUUGUCCUUAAACAUUUGUAUUGUGCUGAUCUGUCUUGUAUUGUUUUUGUUAGAUAUUUAUAUUUUGCUAAUCAAAAGGAUCCAUCUUGACUUGGAUAUGAAUGGUCGAAAUUACUCACUUUACCGGAGUUUAACUUGAUCUUUGUCAUUUUGAGGUGGAGUUAGAUUCGAUCCGUAUUAAUUUGUUAAAUGUUACUAGUAUAAUUUAAUUAUCCCGAAUCCCUUAAACCCUAAACAAAAUUCAAUUCCCCUACCUCACCCUGUUAAGGAGGAUGAAGUUACUGUUCGGCAUUGGUCUUAACGGCGAGUUUCUGGUGGUUGGCCUUGGGGCCAAUUUCCAUACAGUGUUUGGUAAGAUGAAAAGGCUUUUCUGCAAACAGAGCAUUUGUGGCUGAGAGGAAUCGGGACAGAAAGUUCAGGAUCAUCAAUAGUUCGUUGGCCUAUUGAAUUGAAGAAGUUGAAAAACUUGAGGACAUUCCUUAUGGAUGAUAUGGAAAUCUAUGAUGCUGAAGAAACCAUUAUAUCGGAAGUAAUAGAAAGUCUUGUACAAUUAAAGGUGUUUAGAUAUAGUAAAAAUAUUUUAUGUAGACCUAGAGACGACAUUGUACAAGGAGAGAUAUCACUACUAGAGAAGUUGGAAUCCUUACCAAAAUUGGAGGAACUGAGCAUCCGUCUAACUUCCAUCACCAGUGUGCGGAGACUACUUCACUCCACCAAAUUACGAGGUUGCUCAAGACGUCUCAAGAUUUCUUUUUAUGGGAGUUAUAAUAAGGUGCUAGACACACUUGAAAUGUCAUCAUUAUUAGCAUCCAUGUCAGAAAUGACGCAUUUGGACUACAUACAUCUUUUUAGCAUAAGCAACCUCAUGGAUGGUUCACCGGUUACUGACAAAUGCCAUCUUGGCAGGCUUCGCACAGUGUGCAUAUAUGUUUGUGGUUCAAUAACUCAUUUGACGUGGUUGAGGUAUGCUCCUCUUCUCGAGUAUCUUGUUGUUUGUGGUUGUAAUUCAAUUGAACAGGUGGUGAAGGAUGAUGAUGAAGAAGCUGGCUCAAAGUCCAAAAAUGAUAAUAUAUUCAUAAAUCUUAGAGAUCUUUGCCUUCAACAUAUGUCAGAGCUAGUGAGCAUCCACAAGAGAGCUUUGGCUUUUCCUUCCCUAAAACGUAUUCUUGUAAUUGGUUGCCCUAAUCUGAGGAAGCUUCCUCUCAAUUCCAGCUUUGCUUCCAAGGACAACUUGAUUGCAAUCCAAGGAGAGACCGAGUGGUGGGACAAUUUAGAAUGGGAUGAUAGAAUUAUUGAACACUUACUACGGCCUAAAUUUCAAUAUGUAAAGGCUUUGGACGAAGAUUAUCUCUAUUUGUAACUAGAUCAAUUCUUUGAUUGAUAGUGGAGAUGAUCUCUACCAGUGAGUGACGCCCGUCCUAUCAUAAGAUUUAGAGGCCUUCCUAAUUGGUGUGUGACCAAUGAGUAAAGAUGAAUUUAAUACACCCAAACAGUAGUAACCAACAACGUCAAUUAGGCUUCCUUUGCAUUUUCCUGUGGAAAUUAUGGCAGGUGCGGAAUCAAGUUGUAUUUCAAAACAAGUUUGAUCCCAUUUGUGUAGCUCAGGAGGUGAUGUUUCUUGUGCAGAAAAUUAACUGAGACCCCAGCUGUAACUGAUCAGAAUUUCACUGUGUACCGCGACUAAUGUGCAAGAUACAGCUGAAGAUGACAAAAUAUUUGUUGAUACUGGAUGGUUUGAAAAUGGUUCAACUGGCUGGGGACUAGGUCUUCCUAAAUCUAAGGGGUUUGAGGCAAUAUUUGUUGUAGUAGACAGAUUGUUCAAGUAUGGACACUACCCCUGAAACAUCCCUACACCGCAAGAAAAGUAGCAAAGGUGUUCACAAAGGAGAUAGUUUGUAAGUGACCGCGACCCUUUGUUCAUUAGUUUAAUUUGGAAGGAGCUGUUUAGAUUGCAGGGAACAGUUUUGAAGAUGAGUUCCACUUAUCAUCCUGAGACGGAUAGUCAAACAGAGGUGGUAAAUAGGUGUCUUGAACCUUACUUGCGCUUUUUUUCAUCCAAAUAGUCCAAGAAUUGGUCCUAUUGGGCAUUUACGCAGGUCUGCGGUUGCCAUGGUGCCUUCAUGUGGCAAAGGAGAUCAAUCUGCAGAGAGUAACGAUCCCAACUGAUGCAACUAAUGUAGCUAACUGCCUGAAUUCUACUAUAUGUAUUUCUGCCAUUGAUUCCAUUAUCCUUCAUUGUAAACUUUUAAUGACUCAAUUAGAGUGUGUCAAAGUCACUCAUAUGAAGAGACAACUGAACACAGUAGCUCACGGUCUUGCUAGGUUAUCUAGGAAUGUAGGUUCCAAGACGUGGUUCGAUAUAUCAUCCCCGCUGCAAAAUUGUAAUUCUGUUUAUGGUUCAUUGUAAUGCAGAAUAUAUGUUUCGUUUGGAAAAAAUAAAAUAAAAUGAAGGAUGUGAGAUUUGG
Trifolium pratense (red clover) is the source of this 2842-nucleotide RNA transcript. It is a transcript of the gene named probable disease resistance protein At5g63020, with no coding region annotated. The transcript has 3 exons. Lineage: Eukaryota; Viridiplantae; Streptophyta; Magnoliopsida; Fabales; Fabaceae. The record is from RefSeq and is a predicted model, not a curated record.